UGAAUUGCUUACAAUGUGGUUUGGAGAAAGUGAGGCCAAUGUUCGUGAAAUUUUUGACAAGGCACGCCAGUCUGCACCUUGUGUUCUGUUCUUUGAUGAGCUUGACUCUAUCGCCACUCAGAGAGGCAGCAGCGUGGGAGAUGCUGGAGGUGCUGCUGAUCGAGUUUUGAACCAACUUCUGACGGAAAUGGACGGAAUGUCAGCAAAGAAAACUGUCUUCAUAAUUGGGGCGACCAACAGACCAGAUAUUAUAGAUCAAGACGUCCUGGACGAAGAAGUGCUG
Molecule: unclassified non-coding RNA, 283 nt
Filed under: Hevea brasiliensis (rubber tree)
Lineage: Eukaryota; Viridiplantae; Streptophyta; Magnoliopsida; Malpighiales; Euphorbiaceae
Source: RNAcentral